UACGUAGGGUGCAAGCGUUAAUCGGAAUUACUGGGCGUAAAGCGUGCGCAGGCGGUGAUGUAAGACAGAUGUGAAAUCCCCGGGCUCAACCUGGGAACUGCAUUUGUGACUGCAUCGCUGGAGUACGGCAGAGGGGGGUGGAAUUCCGCGUGUAGCAGUGAAAUGCGUAGAGAUGUGGAGGAACACCGAUGGCGAAGGCAGCCCCCUGGGCCAACACUGACGCUCAGGCACGAAAGCGUGGGGAGCAAACAGG
Molecule: ribosomal RNA, 253 nt
Filed under: uncultured bacterium
Lineage: Bacteria
Description: partial 16S ribosomal RNA
Rfam family: Bacterial small subunit ribosomal RNA
Source: RNAcentral